This 499-nucleotide ribosomal RNA is filed under the name uncultured bacterium. RNAcentral describes it as "bacterial SSU rRNA". It matches the Rfam family "Bacterial small subunit ribosomal RNA", at positions 28 to 524 of the family's 1533-position model. The record is from RNAcentral.
GAUGAACGCUAGCGGCAGGCCUAAUACAUGCAAGUCGAGGGGUAAGUUAAGAGCUUGCUUUUAACACGACCGGCGCACGGGUGCGUAACGCGUAUGCAACCUACCUAAUACUAGUGGAUAGCCCAGAGAAAUUUGGAUUAAUACACUAUGGUAUCAUAAAACUGCAUAGUUUAAUGAUUAAAGAUUUAUUGGUAUUAGAUGGGCAUGCGUCUGAUUAGCUAGAUGGCGGUGUAACGGACCACCAUGGCAAUGAUCAGUAGGGGGCCUGAGAGGGUGAUCCCCCACACUGGCACUGAGAUACGGGCCAGACUCCUACGGGAGGCAGCAGUAGGGAAUAUUGGUCAAUGGGCGAAAGCCUGAACCAGCCAUGCCGCGUGCAGGAUGACGGCCUUCUGGGUUGUAAACUGCUUUUAUCAGGGAAGAAAAAGGUCUUGCGAGACAAAUUGCCGGUACCUGAAGAAUAAGCACCGGCUAACUCCGUGCCAGCAGCCGCGGUAAU